RNAcentral lists this ribosomal RNA (497 nucleotides) under uncultured bacterium. Its description in RNAcentral is "partial 16S ribosomal RNA". It matches the Rfam family "Bacterial small subunit ribosomal RNA", at positions 28 to 507 of the family's 1533-position model. The record is from RNAcentral.
GAUGAACGCUGGCGGCGUGCCUAAUACAUGCAAGUCGAGCGAACGGACGAGGAGCUUGCUUCUCUGAUGUUAGCGGCGGACGGGUGAGUAACACGUGGAUAACCUACCUAUAAGACUGGGAUAACUUCGGGAAACCGGAGCUAAUACCGGAUGAUAUUUUGAACCGCAUGGUUCAAAAGUGAAAGACGGUCUUGCUGUCACUUAUAGAUGGAUCCGCGCUGCAUUAGCUAGUUGGUAAGGUAACGGCUUACCAAGGCAACGAUGCAUAGCCGACCUGAGGGGGUGAUCGCCCACACUGGAACUGGGACACGGUCCAGACUCCUACGGGAGGCAGCAGUAGGGAAUCUUCCGCAAUGGGCGGAAGCCUGACGGAGCAACGCCGCGUGAGUGAUGAAGGUCUUCGGAUCGUAAAACUCUGUUAUUAGGGAAGAACAUAUGUGUAAGUAACUGUGCACAUCUUGACGGUACCUAAUCAGAAAGCCACGGCUAACUACGUG